Molecule: ribosomal RNA, 468 nt
Filed under: uncultured bacterium
Lineage: Bacteria
Description: partial 16S ribosomal RNA
Rfam family: Bacterial small subunit ribosomal RNA
Source: RNAcentral
GACGAACGCUGGCGGCGUGCUUAACACAUGCAAGUCGAACGGAAAGGCCCUGCUUUUGUGGGGUGCUCGAGUGGCGAACGGGUGAGUAACACGUGAGUAACCUGCCCUUGACUUUGGGAUAACUUCAGGAAACUGGGGCUAAUACCGGAUAGGAGCUCCUGCUGCAUGGUGGGGGUUGGAAAGUUUCGGCGGUUGGGGAUGGACUCGCGGCUUAUCAGCUUGUUUGUGGGGUAGUGGCUUACCAAGGCUUUGACGGGUAGCCGGCCUGGGAGGGUGACCGGCCACAUUGGGACUGAGAGACGGCCCAGACUCCUACGGGAGGCAGCAGUGGGGAAUAUUGCACAAUGGGCGGAAGCCUGAUGCAGCAACGCCGCGUGCGGGAUGACGGCCUUCGGGUUGUAAACCGCUUUCGCCUGUGACGAAGCGUGAGUGACGGUAAUGGGUAAAGAAGCACCGGCUAACUACGUG